UCCAAUAGUUUUCCAUCAUUUUUUUUCUUAACACAAUUGAUUUUUAAUAAUUUGAAAGAAUGCAAGAUGGCGUCGUAUCUGACCUGCUCCUACUCACAUGACAUUCCGUUAAUUGACUAUAACCUUGAACCAAGCUCUUUAUCUCAUCUUCAUCUUCAUUGUCUUCUUGGAUUUGGUAAAAGUCGGAAAGGUCUCCAUAUCUUCAAGUUUUUCUUCAUGGAUCUGUUAGAAAAUGUACUGGGUCGAUUUUUCUCAUAGACUUUCUUCAUGGGUAUGCUGAAAAAGGUAUCCGGUUUGUCUUUCUGGAAAAUUUUCCUGAUGAUCUCCAUUAAUGGAGGUUCAACCUCCAUUAAUGGAGGUUCACCUUCAUAAUUUUUUAGUCAUAUAUCUAAAAUUCGGGAAGCUAUUAAUGUGGAUCUAUCAUCCUUAAAGAAUGAGGACGGAUGUUUGUCAUCCUUGAAAAAUUCAACCUCCAUUGAUGGAGGUUAAGCUUGAAG
Molecule: long non-coding RNA, 497 nt
Filed under: Capsicum annuum
Lineage: Eukaryota; Viridiplantae; Streptophyta; Magnoliopsida; Solanales; Solanaceae
Description: long non-coding RNA (CANN_LNC010032)
Source: RNAcentral